UUUUUUUUUUUUUUUUUUAAGCUGUCAUUUCCUGAUUUUUGCUUCUACAGGAAGGACCAUCUAAGUAAAAGGAUUUUUUUUUCCCUUUCAUAAUAAAUCCAUGUAUCCUAUGUCACAUCUAUGAGGACACCAUGGAUCAAUCUCAUUGUAUAUAAAUCUCCUAUCUGAUCUGACUCAACAUGUGACCUGGGUGUUACUAAGCCCUGGUGUCCUGGACUCGUGCAGUUCUGCAUUCAAUUAUUCUUUUGGCAAAUGCCAUAUGGUCCAGGUCCCUGCAAAUAUAAAAGAAUCCAGAUGGCCAUGUGACAAGGAAAUCACAAAUAUGCCCUUUCUCCAUCCGUUAUUAGCCUGAGGCACAAAACAAGAGUCACAAAGAUUUUCUGUAACAGGUGACAGAGUACACCAUUUUGGCUUCAUGGGCCUUAGGAUCUCUUUGGCAGCUGCCCAACCCUUUUGCUGCAGUGUGAAAACGUCCAUAGAUGAUAAAGGAACGUGUGAGGCUCUAUUUUCAUUAAAACGUUAUUUACAUAAACAGGCAAGCGGCCAGUGUUGGCCCAGGGGUUGUAGCUUGGAGACCUAAAGCCCAGAAUUCUGUUUUCCUCACUAAUAUACUGUUGUUGAUUAAUCCAACAACAACCUAUCUAUGGCCUUACCACCCCGAACACACCCUAAUCCAACAACAACAAUAACAAAAAGAAGUGCUCUCUUUUUAAUACUAUCUUUCUUAGCAAAUGUAUACAUCGCCACAACAACCCAGCAAAACAGGAACUAAGCUUAGUUAACUAAUCUGCUUACUACCACCAAACCUUCCAAAUGAAGCGUUGGAUUUAGCAGUUUUAGACAUCUGAGUCUGUGUUUGAGUCAGGAUAGGUUGGGUUGGGUUGCAGUAAUAAGCAAUCCCCAAAUUUCAGCCAUUCAAACCGACACAUAUCUAUUUCUUCCUUAGAGAAAGUCCAGGUGAUUCUCCAGGUCCAUGGACCUCCCUGCCUCUGUCCACUCCAGUCUGGCUGGAUCUUAUGCCACCUCUGCAUCAAUACACUUCUCCCAUUUUCCCCAAAUAAGAGGAGUCUAGGAGUUCCCAUCGCGGCUCAGUGGGUAAUAAACCUGACUAGCAUCCACCAGGAUGCAGGUUUGAUCCCUGGCCUCACUUAGUGGGUUAAGGAUUCAGUGUGCCAUGAGCUGUAGUGUAGGUCGCAGAUGCAGCUCUGAUUCUGAGUUGCUGUGGCUGUUGCAUAGGUCGGGAGCUAUAUAGCUCCAGUUCAACCCCUAGCCUGAGAAUAUCCAUAUGCUGCAAGUGCAGCCCUAAAAAUACAAAAAAAAAAAAAAAAGAGGAGUCUAGGGAAAAACUUUGAAAAUUUGAACAUGCCUCUCAAUCAUCUGGAAGCCUGUUCGGGUGAAGCUUCUGAUACUAGAAUUCUGAGGGUGGGGUCUGAGAGCUGAAUUUCCAUCACUCCCUGGGAACAAUGGGGUCUGGUGAUGACAUUCCAAGCAGGAAGUGGUAUCCCAUCAAGAUUCCAGCAUGAUUCUACAUGGAGAGACAGACAUCAGCUCCCCAUUACACUGGCCCCAAAACGCACAGGACUACUUAUAUAUUAACCUGAAGAGGAUACGGAAAUGGACUUUAUCCCUUUGAUAGGAUAGAGAAGAAGCAUGUCCACUGGGAGAUACUUGUAACACUCCCUCAAUCCAGCCUUGGUUGACUUCAAAGACUUGGCUGCCUUCUUUAGUGGCUACACUGCUUAUCCUGCUGACAGGAGGAAAUGAGAUCUGACCCCAUCCCAUGAGUGGGGAGCGCUGCCCUUCCAGCCCUUCCCUGGGCGCGUUCUUCCCUGAGGCUGCAUCCCUGCCUCCUAUCCUGUUGCUAGGCAAAAUGUGUUACUUAUGGGCCCAGCAUCAGCACCACUCGGAGCUCGUUAGAAAUACAGCAUCUCAGGGUCUACUCCAGACCAAGUGAGUCAGACACCUCAUGUAAACAAGACCCUUCGGCGACUUGCACGGACAUUAAAAGAAGAAAAGCACAGAGUUCUCUGAUGGCCUAGAGGUUAACAAUCUGGCAUCGUCACUGCUGUGGUGCAGGUUCGCUCCCUGGCCCAGGAACUUCCACAUGCCGUGGGGGAGGCCAAAAUAUAAAUAAAUUGAAAGCAAACAAAUUGAUAAAUAAAGGAGGAAAAUCGAGCUCUAAUCCUCCACACAUACAACAGACGACCACCUGCGGAGAAACUGUCCCGCCAUGAAGUUGCCAAAAAGGACCCUCGAUUUUCCCCCAUAGCCUGAUUUCACCAUGGCAGGUCCUUCAACAACCAGACUUGAGGUCUAUGGAGUCAAGUCCAUCCAAGGUGACCAUAACCCUAUAUUCCAUGUAGAUGAUAUACAUAAACAUAUAGAUGCAUACAUAUGUGAUUCAUGAACUAUUGUGUGUGUGUAUAUAUGUACAUACACACACACACACAUAUAUACACACACACACAAUAGUUCAUGAUAAUGGUGUUUUUUUUUAAACAGAUGUAAUUUUUUCUGUGACGAAGAAGCAGGUAUUACCAAAUUUAACAUGUCUUCAUACACUACGAUAUUGAAAUGUAAUCAUUUAAUUUCAGACCAUUAAUCUUUUGUAUUUUAUUUCAAAGGAUGGUCAGUAAAUGCCAUGUAAUCAUUUCUAGGCAUAUAGUAAAUACUAGGAGCCUUUAGUAUCCAAAAAUCCCUAAUUUCAUUUGUAAAUAGUGGCAUCUCCAUGUAUCAAAAUAAAUGUUUUGGCAAAGAGGUGUUCAGGAGGAGUUCCCUGGUGUCUCAGCACUGCAAAAAUCGAGCAUUGUUACAGCUGUGGCUCGGGUCACUGCAGAGUUGCAGGUUUGAUGCCUGGCCCGGGAACUUCUCUAGGCCACAAGGUGGCCAGUGUGUUCCAUGGUGUUCAAAGGGCUAUGGAAGCAUUCAAAGCCAGGCCUGGCUGACAGUCAAAUCACUGCUUUUCACAACCACUGGGUUGUCCAUCUUCCUUAGUCACAGACCAAAGACCCAGGACACCUCCCCCACUUUUUUCUUUCUUUUGCUUUUUAAGGCUGCACCUGCAGCCGUAUAGAUGUUCCCAGGCUAGGGGUCAAAUCGGAGCUGUAGCUGCAGGCCUACACCACAGCCACAGCUACACAGGAUCUGAGCCUCGUCUGAGACCUACACCACAGCUCAUAGCAACGCCAGAUCCUUAAACCCACUGAGCAGGGCCAGGGAUCGAAACCACAGCCUCAUGAACAUCAGUCGGAUUUGUUUCCACUGAGCCACCAGGGAACUCCCCGGGACAUCCCUUUAAAAACCAUCGUCUUAAUCCCCCUGCUGACAGAUAUGGAGGCCACACUUCCUUAUCGUUUCACUAGAUACACUCCAUUCGCACCCAGAAUACUGCGUCUCUAGCUCCUAUACGCGCUCGUGCUGCACAGCUGGGUAACAAUUAUUUCCUCUCCACUCCAUCCUUUCCAUAAAUAUUGCCAUCUCUGCAAAACGGGAGCUCUCCAGGGGUUGUGGAAUUAAAUUUUGGGAGAUAUUUGUCCUGUAUCCCAUGUCUGACAUGGCUGCUCCGUGAAGUCAGGCACUAGGGAAGCCACGUUGGUGAUUAUUCACCUUUUGAGCCUGUAUUCCCAUUGCCUCUGGGUGUCAAAUGAGAACACUGCAUUUGACCAGAAAUAUGCCUCAGGUGAAAUGAUGGAUACGGCUACCCCAGCCGUCCUCAUUUGGGUCACUUUCCCUGACUACGGGAAGAGCCAAAAAUAUCCACGCUUGGCAAGAGGUGCCUUCUCUCUCAGCAGGACGUGCAUGCGUAGAGCCCUUAAAAAGACCUCAAGGUUCACGGUUACAGCCCUCGAGAAGACGGUCUGCCUUCUCUUUGAACCAUGACUCGCAGACACUGGUUCAGCCUACAUUCAACAUCCGAUGAUGGUAUAUCCCACUGAUAUGGUGACCCAGCUGUAGCUCAGCUUCACUAUGCUGUUCGAUACUGGAAAAUUAAUCUAUCUGUGGAUUGUCUCAACACAAUGACUUGAGACAUUUGGGAUACUUCAGUCCAUGGGACCUGUUACCACCUGGCAUCGGUCCUUCAAGCACCAACAUGAACACUAGAUACACAUUUCAAGGUGCAUCCAAGAACACGUUUUUGGCUAACUCACAUGUCUUAGGUGAAAUUCGAAGCUGUGUUGACCUACCCUUGGGACUAAACACGACGCUGAUAUCAGGUCCAGACACAAUCCUAAAAGGAGAAUGGAAAUGAACACUUCCACCCUGAUGGACAACCUCGUAUCAGAGAGUUAACCUACCCCAUCACCACCUCAAAGAAUAGUCUGAUUGGAUUUCCCUUAUGGCAUGGAGGGUUAAGGAUCCAGGGUGGCUUGGGCUCACCCUGGCCCAGAAACUUUCAUAUUCCAUGGGGACGACCAAAAGGGAAAAUAAAAUUAAAAAAAGAAAAGGAAAAAAAAAAAAAAGGAAUAUUCUGCUUUAAGAAUCCAUCUCCUGGAGAAUAUUCAGAGAUCGGCCAGACGGCGCAGUACAAAGACACUAAGCCUACCUCCUCUCAUGGAUACACCAAGAUCACAACAAUUUACAGAACAGGCACUGACGAAAAAGACCAGAAUGUAUGAGAAAAGACCUUCUACAACUAAAAAGGUGAAGAAGGGACAAAAGCAAGGCUGAUAGGAUGGGCAGGGACAAAAUAGAGUCAAGUCCCAUACCCCCAGGUGGGCAAGUUAGAAACAAGAGAAUAAUGAAAACUGCAGAAGUUCUCCCAAAGGAGUGAGAGAUUCAGAACCAAGGAUGACCCAGCUUAAGUGGGGGCUCCUGCACUGAGAAACGGAGCCCCCAGAGCACAUGGCGUAGAAGGCCAGCAGGGCUUCCUUUCAGGAGUCCCAGAGGUAGGGUUAGGAGAGUAAAGGGUACAAACUACGAUGGAUAAAAUAAAUGAGCUACAAGGAUAUAUUGCAUGACACAGGGAACAGAGUCAAUAUUUUAUAAUAAUGAUAAAUGGAAUACAACCCUCAAAAUUAUAAAUCACUAUGUUUUACACCUGACACUGAUAUCAUAUUGUACAUCAACGUAGAUCAAUAAAAGAGUAAGAAUCUUUGGGUUCAAAAGAAAAAAAAACAAAAAAAACAAAAAAAAACCCACUUCACACGGAAUGUUUUACCAGCGUGGUGUUCUAGUUUGGAGGUAAAAUUUAAUUCUCAUGGGUUGUAUGCUUUUUUAAACUAUAUUUCACUACAGUGGAUCAGCAGCAUAGAAACAGACAAAUGAGGGG
RNAcentral lists this long non-coding RNA (5269 nucleotides) under Sus scrofa (pig). RNAcentral's name for it is "lncRNA (ENSSSCG00065007834.1)". The record is from RNAcentral. Lineage: Eukaryota; Metazoa; Chordata; Mammalia; Artiodactyla; Suidae.